This 373-nucleotide ribosomal RNA is filed under the name uncultured organism. RNAcentral describes it as "partial 16S ribosomal RNA". It matches the Rfam family "Bacterial small subunit ribosomal RNA", at positions 527 to 896 of the family's 1533-position model. The record is from RNAcentral.
GUAGGUGGCAAGCGUUGUCCGGAAUUAUUGGGCGUAAAGCGCGCGCAGGCGGUUCUUUAAGUCUGAUGUGAAAGCCCACGGCUCAACCGUGGAGGGUCAUUGGAAACUGGAGAACUUGAGUACAGAAGAGGAAAGCGGAAUUCCACGUGUAGCGGUGAAAUGCGUAGAGAUGUGGAGGAACACCAGUGGCGAAGGCGGCUUUCUGGUCUGUAACUGACGCUGAGGCGCGAAAGCGUGGGGAGCAAACAGGAUUAGAUACCCUGGUAGUCCACGCCGUAAACGAUGAGUGCUAAGUGUUAGGGGGUUUCCGCCCCCCUUAGUGCUGCAGCUAACGCAUUAAGCACUCCGCCUAAAAAAUACGGCCGCAAGGCUG